This 226-nucleotide unclassified non-coding RNA is filed under the name Hevea brasiliensis (rubber tree). The record is from RNAcentral. Lineage: Eukaryota; Viridiplantae; Streptophyta; Magnoliopsida; Malpighiales; Euphorbiaceae.
CCGUCGCCAUUGUCUCAAACAAUCACCAAAAAGUGCAAAAGGCCAAAAUCUCUCUCAAACGAGAAAUGAAAACGGAAAAGGAAAUGGAAAUUGAAAUGCUUUUACGCGUCCAUCUAUUUAAUGGAAGUAACGGUGGUGGAAGCUAACGUGAGCCGACGGUGCCAAACCGAAGCAGAAUAAGGGAGAUUUCUGGACUGCAAAAGAACGAAAUAAAAAGGAGGAUCAA